AAUCAACGCUGGCGGCGUGCCUAACACAUGCAAGUCGAACGCGAAAAUCCCGAAAGGGAUCAGUAGAGUGGCAAACGGGUGAGUAACACGUGGGUGACCUGCCUUCGAGUGGGGGAUAACGUCCCGAAGGGACGCUAAUACCGCAUGACAUCCUGCUCUUGAACGAGUGGAGAUCAAAGCCGGGGAUCGCAAGACCUAGCGCUCAAAGAGGGGCCCGCGCCUGAUUAGCAGUUGGUGGGGUAACGGCUCACCAAGGCAACGAUCAGUAUCCGGCCUGAGAGGGCGGACGGACACACUGGGACUGAGACACGGCCCAGACUCCUACGGGAGGCAGCAGUGGGGAAUUGUUCGCAAUGGGCGCAAGCCUGACGACGCAACGCCGCGUGGA
This 388-nucleotide ribosomal RNA is filed under the name uncultured bacterium. Its description in RNAcentral is "bacterial SSU rRNA". It matches the Rfam family "Bacterial small subunit ribosomal RNA", at positions 29 to 405 of the family's 1533-position model. The record is from RNAcentral.